AAUCAACGCUGGCGGCGCGCUUAACACAUGCAAGUCGAACGAGAAAGGGGAGCAAUCCCUGAGUAAAGUGGCGUACGGGUGAGUAACACGUGGAUGACCUGCCCUCUGGUGGGGAAUAACCUUGGGAAACCGGGGCUAAUACCGCAUAAGUCCGGGAGGAGAAAGUCGAAAGACGCCGGAGGAGGGGUCCGCGGCCGAUUAGGUAGUUGGUGGGGUAUAGGCUCACCAAGCCCGAGAUCGGUAGCCGGCCUGAGAGGGCACACGGCCACACUGGCACUGAAACACGGGCCAGACUCCUACGGGAGGCAGCAGUGGGGAAUCUUGCACAAUGGGGGAAACCCUGAUGCAGCGACGCCGCGUGAGCGAUGAAGCCCUUCGGGUGUAAAGCUCUUUCGACGGGAACGAUGAUGACGGUACCCGGGGAAGAAGCUGCGGCUAACUACGUGCCAGCAGCCGCGGUAAUACGUAGGCAGCGAGCGUUGUUCGGAGUUACUGGGCGUAAAGAGUAUGUAGGCGGUUGUG
This 522-nucleotide ribosomal RNA is filed under the name uncultured bacterium. Its description in RNAcentral is "bacterial SSU rRNA". It matches the Rfam family "Bacterial small subunit ribosomal RNA", at positions 28 to 583 of the family's 1533-position model. The record is from RNAcentral.